Molecule: long non-coding RNA, 722 nt
Filed under: Setaria viridis
Lineage: Eukaryota; Viridiplantae; Streptophyta; Magnoliopsida; Poales; Poaceae
Description: long non-coding RNA (SVIR_LNC006725)
Source: RNAcentral
GAAAAAGUAAGGUGGGCCGAAAGGCCGGUGCUGGGCCGCAGAAAAAGGAAGAAAAAAAGAAAAUCGGCCCGCGGGGCCCGUCGGGGGGAAGAAAAGGCCGGCGGGUAGAUUGAAUAGGGAAAGGUGGGGUCCGCGCCGUGGGGCCCAGCGUGCGUGAGAGAGGGUAGAGAGUGGGUGAGUAAGAAAAGUUUUCCGGGCGAUUUUCGGGAAAAAUUAGAUUUCCUUUAGCAAUUUAGUUCGUUUAAAUUUGUUUUACACUAUUUUAAUCACAGAAAUUUGUAGGAGUGUCCAAAAUUAGUGAAACCAAUUUUGUUAGGCUUGUUUUAUUUUCCUUUAUGCAUUAAAAUUUUUACACCCUAGGAAAAUAAUAAAAAUUUGGGUAUUUAUUUAAUGCCUUCCUUUUAAGGUAAUUAAAUAAAUACUUAAUAUUUAUAAAAUGUAUAAAAUAUGAAUAACGCUUUAUCAAUCACAAAUAAUUCUUAACCCAUAGGAGAUUAGAUUUUUAAGUUAGAAAAUAAUUACCACUUUUUCUAAAAUUAAAAUAAAAAGCUAUAGGGAGGGUUAAAUAAGAAAAAUAAAAAGUAUAGGUUAAUCUUUUUAGAUUCUUGUGUGUUGGCUUGCAACUUUAUCAUGAUAAGUUGUAUAGUCCUUGUUGGCUUGCAACGUUAUCAUGAAGGAAAGUUGUAUAGUCUGUUAUUCAAAAAGUUUGCAUUCUAACCCCA